This 469-nucleotide ribosomal RNA is filed under the name uncultured bacterium. RNAcentral describes it as "partial 16S ribosomal RNA". It matches the Rfam family "Bacterial small subunit ribosomal RNA", at positions 28 to 507 of the family's 1533-position model. The record is from RNAcentral.
GACGAACGCUGGCGGCGUGCUUAACACAUGCAAGUCGAACGGAAAGGCCCUGCUUGCUGGGUGCUCGAGUGGCGAACGGGCGAGUAACACGUGGGUGAUCUGCCCCUUACUUUGGGAUAAGCCUGGGCAACUGGGUCUAAUACUGGAUAGGACCAUGCUGUAGGUGGUGUGGUGGAAAGAUUAGUUUCGGUAAGGGAUGAGCUCGCGGCCUAUCAGCGUGUUGGUGGGGUAAUGGCCUACCAAGGCGUCGACGGGUAGCCGGCCUGAGAGGGUGGACGGCAACAUUGAGACUGAGAUACGGCGCAGACGCCUACGGGAGGCAGCAGUGGGGAAUAGUGCACAAUAGGCGCAAGGCUGAUGCAGCGACGCCGCGUGGGGGAUGACGGCCUUCGGGUUGUAAACAACUGUCAGCCAUUACGAAGCCGUUGUGGUGACGGUAGUGGUAGAAGAAGCACCGGCUAACUACGUG